GUCCUAUCAGCUGGUUGGUAGGGUAAUUGCCUACCAAGGCUAUGACGGGUAGGGGACCUGAGAGGGUGGCCCCCCACACUGGCACUGAAACACGGGCCAGACACCUACGGGUGGCAGCAGUAGGGAAUAUUGGACAAUGGGCGAAAGCCUGAUCCAGCAACGCCGCGUGCGCGAUGACGGCCUUCGGGUUGUAAAGCGCUUUUAGGGGAGAUGAGAAAGGACAGUAUCCCCUGAAUAAGCCUCGGCGAACUACGUGCCAGCAGCCGCGGUAAAACGUAGGAGGCGAGCGUUAUCCGGAUUUACUGGGCGUAAAGCGUGUGCAGGCGGUUUGAUAAGUUGGAUGUGAAAGCUCCUGGCUUAACCGGGAGAGGUCGUUCAAAACUAUCAGACUAGAGAGUGGUAGAGGGAGAUGGAAUUCCGCGUGUAGUGGUGAAAUGCGUAGAUAUGCGGAGGAACACCAGUGGCGAAAGCGGUCUCCUGGCCCAUUUCUGACGCUCAGACACGAAAGCUAAGGUAGCAAACGGGAUUAGAGACCCCGGUAGUCUUAGCUGUAAACGAUGUGAACUUAGUGUCGGUGGGGUUAAAUCCAUCGGUACUGAAGCUAACGCGAUAAGUUCACCGCCUGGGGACUACGGCCGCAAGGUUAAAACUCAAAGGAAUUGACGGGGCCCCGCACAAGCAGCGGAGCGUGUGGUUUAAUUCGAUGCUACACGAAGAACCUUACCAGGGUUUGACAUGCAAGUGGUAGGAAACUGAAAAGUGACCGACCCUUCGGGGAGCUUGCACAGGUGCUGCAUGGCUGUCGUCAGCUCGUGUCGUGAGAUGUUCGGUUAAGUCCGCUAACGAGCGCAACCCUCGCUGUGUGUUAUAUGUGUCACACGGGACUGCCGGUUUUAAGCCGGAGGAAGGCGAGGAUGACGUCAAGUCAGCAUGGCCUUUAUAUCCUGGGCUACACACACGCUACAAUGGUCGGUACAAUAGGUUGCCAAGCCGCGAGGCGGAGCCAAUCCAUAAAGCCGGCCUCAGUUCAGAUUGUAGGCUGCAACUCGCCUGCAUGAAGAUGGAGUUGCUAGUAACCGCAGGUCAGCAAUACUGCGGUGAAUACGUUCCCGGG
This 1114-nucleotide ribosomal RNA is filed under the name uncultured bacterium. Its description in RNAcentral is "bacterial SSU rRNA". It matches the Rfam family "Bacterial small subunit ribosomal RNA", at positions 235 to 1378 of the family's 1533-position model. The record is from RNAcentral.